This 833-nucleotide long non-coding RNA is filed under the name Capsicum annuum. Its description in RNAcentral is "long non-coding RNA (CANN_LNC016313)". Lineage: Eukaryota; Viridiplantae; Streptophyta; Magnoliopsida; Solanales; Solanaceae. The record is from RNAcentral.
AAAAAAAUCUGUAUAUGAUUUUAUAUACAUAUCAGCUUAACAAAAUUCUUCCCCUGUUAUGUACAUGAAGUUUUAAAAAAGGGACUGACAGCCUAACAGUUUAUAUAGUAUAUAUUAUCAUAUAUGAUAGUUAUGUAUAUACUAUCAUAUACAUAACAUAGAUAUGUAUAUGAUUUUAUAUGCAUAACAUGACAUGUAUGUGAUUUUAUAUACAUAACAUAGAUAUGUAUAUAUACAUAAAAAAUGUUAUGUACAUAGUCCCAUAUACAUAACCAAUGUUAUGUAUAUGUGCUAAAAAUACCAAACCUUGUUAACAUACAUAACAAAUGUUACGUAUAUAUAUAACAUAUACAUAACCCGCAAUCCUACACAUAGCAGAUAACCUUAGAGAGACGAGGCCGUGAUGUAUUUCUUUGUUUCAUCUUCCUUGAAGAUUGAUCAACUUACUUUUUUAAACUACUAGAACAACUUUCCGCAUCUUUUCAUCUUGGGGGAGGGGGGGGGGGGGCGUGGGGGUGAAGUAACAACAAAUUUCAUAAUGUAUAUGACAUUCUUCUUCUUCUUCUUCUUCUUCUUCUUCUUCUUCUUCUUCGUCUUCUUCUUCUUCUUCUUCUUCUUCUAAUUUCACUAAUUCUUUCAUUCCUAAGUCUACACCUUCUCCCGUUUUCUUUCUAUCGUCGAAGAAGACGAGGAGGAGGAAGAAAAAACCCAACAGUUAAAUGAAUCAAAAAAUAACCCAAUUUAUCGCUUCUUUUUAAUCCAGACAACAAUCGUCGGGAAUGCAAGUUAUCUCUACAAAAGAAUCGUAAAACGAAUGAUGGGCGGAAAGAAAG